UUGAAGAGGACUCAUCCCUAGUACGAGAGGAUUAGGAUGGACGGACCCCUGGUAUACCAAUUGCCCCGCUAGGGGCACAGUUGGGUAGCUAUGUCCGGAAAGGAUAAACGCUGAAAGCAUCUAAGCGUGAAACCACCCUCAAGAUGAGACGUCCCUAUAGCCUCCAGCUAGACUAGCUGGUUGAUAGGCCGGAAGUGUAAGUGCAGUAAUGCAUUGAGCUGACCGGUACUAACAGGCAAUUGGCUUGGCCAC
RNAcentral lists this ribosomal RNA (252 nucleotides) under Phycisphaerales bacterium. RNAcentral describes it as "partial 23S ribosomal RNA". It matches the Rfam family "Bacterial large subunit ribosomal RNA", at positions 2662 to 2925 of the family's 2925-position model. Lineage: Bacteria; Pseudomonadati; Planctomycetota; Phycisphaerae; Phycisphaerales. The record is from RNAcentral.